Molecule: ribosomal RNA, 496 nt
Filed under: uncultured bacterium
Lineage: Bacteria
Description: bacterial SSU rRNA
Rfam family: Bacterial small subunit ribosomal RNA
Source: RNAcentral
AGAGUUUGAUCAUGGCUCAGGAUGAACGCUAGCGGCAGGCCUAAUACAUGCAAGUCGAACGCUCAGUAGCAAUACUGGGAGUGGCGCACGGGUGCGUAACGCGUACACAAUCUACCUCUAAGCGGGGGACACCUCCUGGAAACGGGGAUUAAUACCGCAUAAUAUGCCGAGGUCGCAUGACUUUGGUAUUAAAGCAGCAAUGCACUUAGAGAUGAGUGUGCGUCCCAUUAGGUAGUUGGUGAGGCAACGGCUCACCAAGCCUAUGAUGGGUAGCCGGUCUGAGAGGAUGGUCGGCCACACGGGCACUGAGACACGGGCCCGACUCCUACGGGAGGCAGCAGUAAGGAAUAUUGGUCAAUGGUGGAAACACUGAACCAGCCAUGCCGCGUGGAGGAAUAAGGUCCUACGGAUUGUAAACUCCUUUUGACGAGGAAGAAAGUGUUAGAUUUAUCUAAUUUUGAUGGUACUCGUAGAAUAAGCACCGGUUAACUCCGUG